RNAcentral lists this long non-coding RNA (904 nucleotides) under Aotus nancymaae (Ma's night monkey). RNAcentral's name for it is "lncRNA (ENSANAG00000038889.1)". Lineage: Eukaryota; Metazoa; Chordata; Mammalia; Primates; Aotidae. The record is from RNAcentral.
CAGGUGUGGCUGCACCCAGUGGGGUGUGAUCAGAGAACGGCCUGUCUGCUGGGGAAGGCGGUUGGGUUUGUCUGAGCCACACCGGACCCAUCCCUGACCAGCAGGCACGUUCUGGAGAUGCGUGGCGGAGACAGGGCCUCUGUGGGAGCCAUUGAGGUGUGAGGGCUGGGGUGCAGCCUCCAGCUUCUGCUCGCAGAGCGGGACCUGCAGGAGCUCGCUGACUGCUGCACAGUGGGAGGGAGACUGUCUCUUUUACUUUCCUUGAGGAGAAGAAGUGAAAGUUCUGAGCAAAUGCAUGGCGAGGGAGUUCCAGGCGGCUGGCGUUAGUGGGCCUGGAACUGGACGCACACACCGGGUCUCGAGGCCGCCCCUUCUCGGUCUUAAUGAAAGUCCAGGCACUCCAAGGACGAACAAAUAUUUAAACAGCAGCUUCACUUUGAAGGGAAGGAAACGGCUGCAGAAAGGGUGCGGGCGUCGGGGCAGUCGGGGCCGCGGCCAGUGGGCAGCACUGGGAGAUGAAACCAGCGAUGGCGCAGAAAGAACUCGGCGCUGCGGAGGCAAUGGUGGCCCGAGGAGGCCCCUGACCCAUGGGGAGCGGCCGCAGCCUCCAGCCCCGGGCCUCCUCCCCUCGGUUUCCCGGUGACUCUGCAGCCCCCUCUGGGGUCUCUCCUGCUUCCCCCUCAAUCCGAGGGAGACCCUGGGAAAGUGGGCCUGUUAUAAUUGCAAAAAAUAAACCAUCAGUAGCUACAAAAGACACAGACACACUGAGACGGCGUGAAAAGGACUUGGGGCUGGUGUGGUGGCUCAUGCCUGUAAUCCCAGCACUUUGGGAGGCUGAGGCGUGUGAGCCCAGGAGUUUGGGACCAGCCUGGGCAACAUAGUGAGACCCUGUCUCUACAAAACA